GGGGUUAUAGCUCAGCUGGGAGAGCGCGUCGUUCGCAAUGACGAGGUCAGGGGUUCGAAUCCCCUUAACUCCA
RNAcentral lists this transfer RNA (73 nucleotides) under Deinococcus proteolyticus MRP. It matches the Rfam family "tRNA". From Rfam's summary of the family: Transfer RNA (tRNA) molecules are approximately 80 nucleotides in length. Their secondary structure includes four short double-helical elements and three loops (D, anti-codon, and T loops). Lineage: Bacteria; Thermotogati; Deinococcota; Deinococci; Deinococcales; Deinococcaceae. The record is from Rfam by way of RNAcentral.